This 1477-nucleotide long non-coding RNA is filed under the name Pandoravirus celtis. RNAcentral describes it as "hypothetical ncRNA". The record is from RNAcentral.
GUCAAAACUUGCCAUGGACCGCCGACUCCCUCUCCGAGGCCGCCGGCCACGGGCGCAUAGGAAAAAUAAGUGGCGUCCACAGGAUCAUAAGGGCCACGGGAUGUGCUCGGCAAAAGGCAAAGUAGGCUGUCUCCAUUAGGAUACCUGACGGUCGCAUUGUGUCUCUCGUCCGCGGGGUCCACGUAGGUAGAGAUGGAUGUGCCGUCGGCCAGGUAGAUCGUGCCGUAGCCGGUAAUUUGCAACCGCUCUGACACGCCGCCUCGAUACAAGAGGGCGCCCGUCGGAUCGUACAAGCCGCCCCGACAAGGUCGGCCAUUAUCAAACCGGCCCACAAAGGCGACCGAUCCAUCGCGACGGUAGAUCACCCCGCGGCUGUGCCAUGAGUCGCUCUCGGGACCGUAGCGCGUGAGCGCCUCGGGCGUGCGUGCGACACCGACCCCUGUGCGCUGACCGCGCUGCCAGUCGCCGUCAUAGAUCCGAUCCUGGGCGAUCAACAGGCCCCGACCAUGGGGCUCGCCCUUUGCGUGGUGGCCCUGAAAGUAGGACGGUUGGCCUGAGCGGUUCGACCACACGCUGGCCCAGCCGUCGACCCGACCGCAAGACCACUGGCCCGAGACUCUAUGGACAACCGUCGAGCGACCGCGCACGAUGAUGGCCGUGCCCCAGCCGUGCGGCUUGGCCUCGUCGUCCAGGUCGCCAAUGUAGAUCAUCUCGUGUGGCGACUUGUAGUAGGCAAAGCCAAAGGCGCUUGGGUCAGCGCGAAUGCGCCCGACGCGGCGCAGGGGUGUACCGGGAAAGCGUCCAAACAGGCCCUUGGGCGCCAGCAGUGAUGCGUAGGCCCAUCGGUGGUCGACGAGCGCCUCGGGCGGCCAGUGGUGGAGACACAAGGACAGACCACCGGCAAAAAGACUGGUCCACUCCCAAGAUGGAGUCGGCUGGUGGCGACCUAGAGGGUGAUCUGCGUCGGUAUGCCCAUCCUCGAGCCAAGGCGACACACACGAUAAAAUGUCGCCGCCUGCAUACGUCAUUGCAAUGUCGACGAGGCACAUAGUCUCGUGUCCGGGGGCCGAUCGACACGGCUGGAAAUCGCGCCAGUACAAGCGCUUCCAGAGCCGAUCGUCGAGGCAGACGGCGCGCGUACGAUGGUCCGCCCUCGCUAGAGCGACAAGCGCCACCACCGUGCAGUGUGUGGCAAUCUCAUAGACGACUUCGUCGGGCAGGUCCGACCAUGUGCAUCGAGUUUGCAUGCCGCGCGCGACUGUCCUGUUUGUACGACGAGUGCCAACGACGAUGCCGUGCGGGCUACGCGAUGUCGUGUGCGGGUUUUUUGACCGCACAACAUUGUCGGGCGACCCAUUUGCGUGUUGGUUUGCGCCACACACAGCAGAGGACCAAUCACUAUCGGAAAAAAAAAGAAUAAUGGCCUGUGGCAGAAAAAAAAGACUUGUCCACGCAAACUCUGUGAGCGACCUUGGGC